Molecule: long non-coding RNA, 304 nt
Organism: Spodoptera frugiperda (fall armyworm)
Lineage: Eukaryota; Metazoa; Arthropoda; Insecta; Lepidoptera; Noctuidae
Exons: 3
Source: RefSeq, a predicted model, not a curated record
CCUGAGAAGCUACAAGCGCCGCCUAAACCGAAAGAUGUCGUGAAACCACCUGUAAUGAAUAUUCCAGUGAUAAAUGAAGUGCCUGGCAGGGCGACUGGCACCGCCGCUUCCUCAGCGCAGAAUUCAGAAGAAGAGCUGUACAACACUUUGCUGACUAAACUAAAGAAAAGUUCAACAUCUAAGCUGAAUAAAAACAAUAAUAAAUAGUGGACGUUUUGAAGAUUUUUACCUUUUAUACAACAUGUUGUAUAUUUGUAAAAGUGAAUUUAUUUUAUACAUAUAUUAAGCAUUUUAUUGUUGUAAU